RNAcentral lists this long non-coding RNA (701 nucleotides) under Homo sapiens (human). Its description in RNAcentral is "HSALNT0005171". The record is from RNAcentral. Lineage: Eukaryota; Metazoa; Chordata; Mammalia; Primates; Hominidae.
UGUGUGGGCCUCAUUCAAUCUGUUGAAGGCCUGAAUAGAAGAAAAGGCUGAAUAAGAAAAAAUUCUUGUUUUGGCCAUUGCACCCAGUUUUUUGCAAAGCUUGAAACUAUUUCAAAGUAUUGGGUUGAUUAGGAUCAUCCCAUUGGUUAAUAAAUAAAUGUGUUUGUGCUUUUAAAAAUAAUUCUUUCUGACUGACUCUCUUCAGACUGGGACACUGGUCUUCUCCUUCCUUUGGACUCAGACUCAGACUUAGACUGGAAUUUACAACAUCAACUCACCUGGGUUUCCAGCUUGCCAACUUCAGAUCUUGGACUUCUCAUCUUCUAUAAUCAUUGCCAUAAAAUAAGGAAGUGUUCAACAACAACUUAUGAUGGAGGUGUAUCAGAGGAGGACAAGAGCCAAUGGAAAGAGCUCCCAAUGGCCAAAGCUGGAACAACUUGAACAACAAAACAAAUAAGGAUCUGUUCCAGAAGGAACUGCUGGAUCAAAGCAUGUGCGAACUCUUAAGGCUUCUGAUACAUAUUGCCAAAUUACCACUCGAAGGACUUACCAGCAGUGAAUGGGAGAACCUCUUCCCCAGGGUCCUGACCCACCCAACCAUAAACACACAAUAAGGAAGUAAGGGGGAUGGGGGAGGGAUAUUAAUGUUUUAAUUUGUUCUUUUGUUUAUAAGUAAAGAAAAAUUUGUUUAUUCCUUAUGA